GGGGCAGUAGCUCAAUCGCGGAAGAGCGCCCGACGGACGCGUCGGGAAGGUUGGAGGUUCGACCCCUCCCUGCCCCUC
This 78-nucleotide transfer RNA is filed under the name Microbacterium phage Phinky. RNAcentral's name for it is "tRNA-Val". It matches the Rfam family "tRNA". From Rfam's summary of the family: Transfer RNA (tRNA) molecules are approximately 80 nucleotides in length. Lineage: Duplodnaviria; Heunggongvirae; Uroviricota; Caudoviricetes. The record is from RNAcentral.